CUUGCUCUUAUGAAGUUAGCGGCCGAUUGGUGAGUAACACGUGGGUAACCUGCCCAUAAGACUGGGCAUAACUCCGGGAAACCGGGGCUAAUACCGGAUAACAUUUUGAACCGCAUGGUUCGAAAUUGAAAGGCGGCUUCGGCUGUCACUUAUGGAUGGACCCGCGUCGCAUUAGCUAGUUGGUGAGGUAACGGCUCACCAAGGCAACGAUGCGUAGCCGACCUGAGAGGGUGAUCGGCCACACUGGGACUGAGACACGGCCCAGACUCCUACGGGAGGCAGCAGUAGGGAAUCUUCCGCAAUGGACGAAAGUCUGACGGAGCAACGCCGCGUGAGUGAUGAAGGCUUUCGGGUCGUAAAACUCUGUUGUUAGGGAAGAACAAGUGCUAGUUGAAUAAGCUGGCACCUUGACGGUACCUAACCAGAAAGCCACGGCUAACUACGUGCCAGCAGCCGCGGUAAUACGUAGGUGGCAAGCGUUAUCCGGAAUUAUUGGGCGUAAAGCGCGCGCAGGUGGUUUCUUAAAGUCUGAUGUGAAAGCCCACGGCUCAACCGUGGAAGGGUCAUUGGAAAACUGGGAGACUUGAGUGCAGAAGAGGAAAAGUGGAAUUUCCAUGUGUAGCGGUGAAAUGCGUAGAGAUAUGGGAGGAACACCAGUGGCGAAGGCGACUUUCUGGGUCUGUAACUGAACACUGGAGGGCGCGAAAGCGGUGGGGGAGCAAAACAGGGAAUUAAGAAUAACCCUGGUAAGUUCCACGCCGGUUAAA
Molecule: ribosomal RNA, 767 nt
Filed under: uncultured bacterium
Lineage: Bacteria
Description: bacterial SSU rRNA
Rfam family: Bacterial small subunit ribosomal RNA
Source: RNAcentral